RNAcentral lists this ribosomal RNA (565 nucleotides) under uncultured Glomeromycotina. RNAcentral describes it as "SSU rRNA". It matches the Rfam family "Eukaryotic small subunit ribosomal RNA", at positions 548 to 1114 of the family's 1831-position model. Lineage: Eukaryota; Fungi; Glomeromycota. The record is from RNAcentral.
UUGGAGGGCAAGUCUGGUGCCAGCAGCCGCGGUAAUUCCAGCUCCAAUAGCGUAUAUUAAAGUUGUUGCAGUUAAAAAGCUCGUAGUUGAAUUUCGGGAUCAAUUUGCUGGUCGUGCUUCUGGUACGUACUGGUAUUAUUGGUUUCUCCCUUCUGACGAACCAUGAUGUCAUUAAUUUGAUGUCGUGGAGAAUCAGGACUGUUACUUUGAAAAAAUUAGAGUGUUUAAAGCAGGCAUUAGCUUGAAUACAUUAGCAUGGAAUAAUGAAAUAGGACGUUUGAUCCUAUUUUGUUGGUUUCUAGGAUUGACGUAAUGAUUAAUAGGGAUAGUUGGGGGCAUUAGUAUUCAAUUGUCAGAGGUGAAAUUCUUGGAUUUAUUGAAGACUAACUACUGCGAAAGCAUUUGCCAAGGAUGUUUUCAUUAAUCAAGAACGAAAGUUAGGGGAUCGAAGACGAUCAGAUACCGUCGUAGUCUUAACCAUAAACUAUGCCGACUAGGGAUCGGAUGAUGUUAAUUUUUUAAUGACUCAUUCGGCGCCUUACGGGAAACCAAAGUGUUUGGGUUC